CCCCUAGCCUGCCACGCUGGUGAGCAGUGUCUAGAAAGCAAGGGAGGUGACUCGAAUUUGUUAAAAACAGCACAUGCCUCAGGGCAAAGCACCCCACACUCGUUUGAGGGCUCUGUCUUCAGAACUUUACAGGGGAUCUUUGAGUACGAGAGGUGGGACUGAGUGGUUUUUCUUCUGUUUCAGUCCCUGGUUGGCUGACAAGCUUUUGUAGUCCAAGAUGGAAUAAAGGAACCACAUUGGGAAUUCCACCUUGUGCAUUGUGACAGUAACUCAGUGCUUUUUUCUUUUCUGUCUUUGCAGGAUUCGGCGUUGCCCCGAGCACGGCAAGGAGCAGAGAUGAGCAGGUCUCUGAUGCCUAUUUUCUGAGGAUCUACCGUUUGAUGUUGAGAAGCAGCAGUGAGAAGAUAUCUCAGGGCAUUUUGUUCAGCAGAGUGUUUCAAAUAAGGGUUGCGGUCACUGUGCGAGUUAGUCUCCUGCUGCGUGUCAGAGUGUGUCUGUCUGUGAGAGUCGGUGGGUCAGGGUCUGCUUGUGUGCAUGUGUGUCGAGUGGUUCUAACCUGGUAUGUAUGGCUUUUGCUUUUCAGGAAUUACUAUUCACUUUUAAAUUUAGAAUAAAAAAUCCCCAGCUGGGGGGGUUUUUUUUUUUUCCCUCCCAGCUGGGGUUUUUUUUCCUCGGUCCCGGCCGGUCUGCGAGGCGACAGUCAUCGCCAAAGUUUGGGCACGGACCGGCCCCGGACCGAGGUUUUCGUCAGGCAGGCUGAUUUUCAGGGUCCCGGGAACCACGUUCCCGAGGACCAACGACAGCAGGAUUAUAAUGGGGCGGUGGAGAGGAGUGUGAAGGUGAGUAUGUGUGCGAGCUGAAGCCGGCUUCUGUGGCGAAUGAGUAUUGUGUUUUCUGUGUGCUCCUUGUGGUUUGGCAUAGCAGUAAUAAUGAAACAGCAUGUAUUGACCUUUCCAGAACUGUAGAAAUAGUUAUAUUCUGUUAAUAUGUAUUUGGCUUGUAUUGUUCUGUAUUUGCAUUUGCUGCUGUGUUUCACUGUAUUACUCUGUAUGUGAAUUAGGAAUUUUUCAGUGUGUACAUGGAUUGUAUUGUAAUGCAUUUGUCUCCAGUUUCUCUGUGUUUUGCUGUAGUGUAAAUAAAUUCAUUAAAUAAAGGUGAAUAAACCUUCAUCCCCCUC
Cyanistes caeruleus (blue tit) is the source of this 1177-nucleotide non-coding RNA. Lineage: Eukaryota; Metazoa; Chordata; Aves; Passeriformes; Paridae. The record is from RefSeq and is a predicted model, not a curated record.